AACGAACGCUGGCGGCGUGCUUAAUACAUGCAAGUCGAACGUGAGUCCGUAGCAAUACGGAUGAAAGUGGCGAACGGGUGAGUAACACGUAAACAAUCUACCUCUAAGUUUGGGAUAACCUUGCCAACGCGGGGCUAAUACCGGAUGUGGUCAUUGAGACGCAUGUUUUGAUGAUUAAAGGAGUAAUUCGCUUAGAGAUGAGUUUGCGGCCCAUUAGAUAGUUGGUGGGGUAAUGGCCUACCAAGUCAGCGAUGGGUAGCCGGCCUGAGAGGGUGUACGGCCACAUUGGGACUGAGAUACGGCCCAGACUCCUACGGGAGGCAG
Molecule: ribosomal RNA, 324 nt
Filed under: uncultured Fibrobacterota bacterium
Lineage: Bacteria; Pseudomonadati; Fibrobacterota
Description: bacterial SSU rRNA
Rfam family: Bacterial small subunit ribosomal RNA
Source: RNAcentral